AACGAACGCUGGCGGCGCGCCUAAUACAUGCAAGUCGAGCGAGAAGGUGUAGCAAUACACUUGUAAAGCGGCGAACGGGUGAGGAAUACAUGGGUAAUCUACCAUCGGGUGGGGAAUAACCAGCCGAAAGGUUGGCUAAUACCGCGUACGCUUCCGAGUCUUCGGGCUUGGAAGGAAAGCCGCACUGUGAGUGCGGCGCUCUUUGAUGAGCUCAUGUCCUAUCAGCUUGUUGGUAGGGUAACGGCCUACCAAGGCUUUGACGGGUAGCUGGUCUGAGAGGACGAUCAGCCACACUGGCACUGCGACACGGGCCAGACUCCUACGGGAGGCAGCAGUAAGGAAUAUUGCGCAAUGGGCGAAAGCCUGACGCAGCGACGCCGCGUGGGGGAUGAAGGUCUUCGGAUUGUAAACCCCUUUCGGGAGGGAAGAUGGAGCGAGCAAUCGUUCGGACGGUACCUCCAGAAGCAGCCACGGCCAACUUCGUGCCAGCAC
This 492-nucleotide ribosomal RNA is filed under the name uncultured bacterium. RNAcentral's name for it is "bacterial SSU rRNA". It matches the Rfam family "Bacterial small subunit ribosomal RNA", at positions 29 to 514 of the family's 1533-position model. The record is from RNAcentral.